RNAcentral lists this ribosomal RNA (641 nucleotides) under uncultured archaeon. RNAcentral describes it as "bacterial SSU rRNA". It matches the Rfam family "Archaeal small subunit ribosomal RNA", at positions 156 to 796 of the family's 1478-position model. The record is from RNAcentral.
UAGGUUUAGGGCACUGGAAGGUCCCUAAACCGAAAGGGGCUCUGCCCGCCCGAGGAUGGGCCGGCGGCCGAUUAGGUAGUUGGUGGGGUAACGGCCCACCAAGCCCAUAAUCGGUACGGGCAGUGAGAGCUGGAGCCCGGAGAUGGACACUGAGACACGGGUCCAGGCCCUACGGGGCGCAGCAGGCGCGAAACCUCCGCAAUGCUCGAAAGAGCGACGGGGGGACCCCAAGUGCCGUGGUACAACCACGGCUUUUCCGGAGUGUAAGAAGCUCCGGGAAUAAGGGCUGGGCAAGGCCGGUGGCAGCCGCCGCGGUAAUACCGGCGGCCCGAGUGGUGGCCACUAUUAUUGGGCCUAAAGCGUCCGUAGCCGGGCUUGUAAGUCCCUGGCGAAAUCCCACGGCUCAACCGUGGGGCUUGCUGGGGAUACUGCAAGCCUUGGGACCGGGAGAGGCCGGGGGUACUCCUGGGGUAGGGGUGAAAUCCUAUAAUCCCAGGAGGACCGCCAGUGGCGAAGGCGCCCGGCUGGAACGGGUCCGACGGUGAGGGACGAAGGCCAGGGGAGCAAACCGGAUUAGAUACCCGGGUAGUCCUGGCUGUAAAGGAUGCGGGCUAGGUGUUGCUUGGACCUCGAGUCCAAGC